GACGAACGCUGGCGGCGUGCUUAACACAUGCAAGUCGAACGGAGAUCUCGGUGCUUGCACCGGGUGAUCAGUGGCGAACGGGUGAGUAACACGUGACUAACCUGCCCCCGACUCUGGGAUAACCCCGGGAAAUCGGAGCUAAUACCGGAUACGAGACGCACAGGCAUCUGUAGCGUCUGGAAAGAAUUUCGGUCGGGGAUGGAGUCGCGGCCUAUCAGCUAGUUGGUGGGGUAACGGCCCACCAAGGCGACGACGGGUAGCCGGCCUGAGAGGGCGACCGGCCACACUGGGACUGAGACACGGCCCAGACUCCUACGGGAGGCAGCAGUGGGGAAUAUUGCACAAUGGGCGAAAGCCUGAUGCAGCGACGCCGCGUGGGGGAUGAAGGCCUUCGGGUUGUAAACCCCUUUCAGCAGGGAAGAAGCGAAAGUGACAAUACCUACAAAAGAAGCGCCGGCUAACUACGUGCCAGCAGCCGCGGUAAUACGUAGGGCGCAAGCGUUGUCCGGAUUUAUUGGGCGUAAAGAGCUCGUAGGCGGUUUGUCGCGUCUGCUGUGAAAACCCGAGGCUCAACCUCGGGCCUGCAGUGGGUACGGGCAGACUAGAGUGCGGUAGGGGAGACUGGAAUUCCUGGUGUAGCGGUGGAAUGCGCAGAUAUCAGGAGGAACACCGAUGGCGAAGGCAGGUCUCUGGGCCGCAACUGACGCUGAGGAGCGAAAGCAUGGGGAGCGAACAGGAUUAGAUACCCUGGUAGUCCAUGCCGUAAACGUUGGGCACUAGGUGUGGGACUCAUUCCACGAGUUCCGUGCCGCAGCUAACGCAUUAAGUGCCCCGCCUGGGGAGUACGGCCGNCAGGCUA
Molecule: ribosomal RNA, 859 nt
Filed under: uncultured bacterium
Lineage: Bacteria
Description: bacterial SSU rRNA
Rfam family: Bacterial small subunit ribosomal RNA
Source: RNAcentral